This 497-nucleotide ribosomal RNA is filed under the name uncultured bacterium. RNAcentral's name for it is "partial 16S ribosomal RNA". It matches the Rfam family "Bacterial small subunit ribosomal RNA", at positions 28 to 507 of the family's 1533-position model. The record is from RNAcentral.
GAUGAACGCUGGCGGCGUGCCUAAUACAUGCAAGUCGAGCGAACGGACGAGGAGCUUGCUUCUCUGAUGUUAGCGGCGGACGGGUGAGUAACACGUGGAUAACCUACCUAUAAGACUGGGAUAACUUCGGGAAACCGGAGCUAAUACCGGAUAACAUUUUGAACCGCAUGGUUCAAAAGUGAAAGACGGUCUUGCUGUCACUUAUAGAUGGAUCCGCGCUGCAUUAGCUAGUUGGUAAGGUAACGGCUUACCAAGGCAACGAUGCAUAGCCGACCUGAGAGGGGGAUCGGCCACACGGGAACGGAGACACGGUCCAGACUACUACGGGAGGCAGCAGUAGGGAAUCUGCCGCAAGGGGGGAAAGCCUGACGGAGCAACGCCGCGUGAGUGAGGAAGGUCUUCGGAUCGUAAAACUCUGUUAUUAGGGAAGAACAUAUGUGUAAGUAACUAUGCACAUCUUGACGGUACCUAAUCAGAAAGCCACGGCUAACUACGUG